CUUUGUUUUUCUCCCUGUCUUCUUCUCCCACACGGCAGCAGCCCACACCUUCUUCCUCCCUGCGCCCAGCCUUCCCCAAGCUCUAGCGUGCAGGGCAGCAGCGCCCCUUCUGCUCCAUGGCCGAGCUCCCUUGGAGCAGACGCUCACCAGCCCAGGCGUGGGCUCCAUUUUUUCCAGGGCCGCCGAACUCCAUGUCCAUGGCGUGGAGCAGCAGCUCCCAUUCCUCGGCGACAUCCUCCUCGCCGUCGUCCAUGGCGCCCCUGCUCCUUCUUCCUCGCACCGCAGCAGCCGAGCUCGCCCUAGCCUCCAUUUUUCCAGUCGGCCUUUCCCCCUGCGAGCAGUUUUUCCCAUUGUCUUCAUCCUCCAGCCGCCAUGGACGCCCAAGCCAGUAGCGCCUUGAGCUCGCCCCUGCUUCUCUCUCUCUACCAAGCGCCCCCUGCAAUCUUCCCCAAGUUGCCUUCCUCCUCUCCCCAACGGCGCCCUCCUUUUUUUCCUCUCUGUUCCAGACCGGCAUCAGAGCAGUGCGCGCAAGCUCUCCCAGCCAAGGACAGCACCAUCCCCUCCCCUGCUGCUGCUCGCCUCCUACCUCCUUUUCCCCUAGUGCGACAGCAAGGAACCCCUGUUCUGCCGGCAGCCAUGGCAUCCAAGUUCUGUGCGCAGCGAUGCCGGUCCAAAACAGCAGCCUUGGAUCCCCUCUGCAUCGCGUGCUUCGCUCGAUCUGCGCAGUCCCGACCCACGCCGUCGCAUUGGUAUUUGGGGACAGCCCAUGUCGUGUCGUUGAUCUGUGCAGUUCGACCGUCUACGCGUCUCACUUCGCCGGAUCUGCGCAGCCCCAACAUCGACGACGUUCACCCCGGCGAGGAACCCCGUGUUUUGCGUGGAGAAGGCAAGUCGUUCAACGCUCGUCGGAUGCUCGGAGCGAUGCACAAAUCGGAAUCGCCAUCGUCCUUACAAACAUCGAUUGGGUUUAUUUAUGGUGAGCCGAUGACCGAGAGAUGACGCUCAUGCAAGUGGUGUGGUGCCAACCACAAGAUGCCGCGGUGGACGACCUGAAGGAUGGACAUAACCAGUGGAUGCUCGCCAAGCGAGUGCCACCCCAGCAAACACUAUCUAAGUGUUAAAAUAA
Zea mays is the source of this 1126-nucleotide RNA transcript. It is a transcript of the gene named proline-rich receptor-like protein kinase pseudogene, with no coding region annotated. The transcript has 3 exons. The record is from RefSeq and is marked validated. Lineage: Eukaryota; Viridiplantae; Streptophyta; Magnoliopsida; Poales; Poaceae.